ACGAACGCUGGCGGCGUGCUUAACACAUGCAAGUCGAACGGAAAGGCCCUGCUUUUGUGGGGUGCUCGAGUGGCGAACGGGUGAGUAACACGUGAGUAACCUGCCCUUGACUUUGGGAUAACUUCAGGAAACUGGGGCUAAUACCGGAUAGGAGCUCCUGCCGCAUGGUGGGGGUUGGAAUGUUUCGGCGGUUGGGGAUGGACUCGCGGCUUAUCAGCUUGUUGGUGGGGUAGUGGCUUACCAAGGCUUUGACGGGUAGCCGGCCUGAGCGGGGGACCGGCCACAUUGGGACUGAGAUACGGCCCAGACUCCUACGGGAGGCAGCAGUGGGGAAUAUUGCACAAUGGGCGGAAGCCUGAUGCAGCAACGCCGCGUGCGGGAUGACGGCCUUCGGGUUGUAAACCGCUUUCGCCUGUGACGAAGCGUGAGUGACGGUAAUGGGUAAAGAAGCACCGGCUAACUACGUG
RNAcentral lists this ribosomal RNA (467 nucleotides) under uncultured bacterium. Its description in RNAcentral is "partial 16S ribosomal RNA". It matches the Rfam family "Bacterial small subunit ribosomal RNA", at positions 29 to 507 of the family's 1533-position model. The record is from RNAcentral.